UACGUAGGGGGCAAGCGUUAUCCGGAUUUACUGGGUGUAAAGGGAGCGUAGACGGCGAUGCAAGCCAGAUGUGAAAGCCCGGGGCUCGACCCCGGGACUGCAUUUGGAACUGUGUGGCUGGAGUGUCGGAGAGGCAAGUGGAAUUCCUAGUGUAGCGGUGAAAUGCGUAGAUAUUAGGAGGAACACCAGUGGCGAAGGCGGCUUGCUGGACGAUGACUGACGUUGAGGCUCGAAAGCGUGGGGAGCAAACAGG
RNAcentral lists this ribosomal RNA (253 nucleotides) under uncultured bacterium. Its description in RNAcentral is "partial 16S ribosomal RNA". It matches the Rfam family "Bacterial small subunit ribosomal RNA", at positions 524 to 776 of the family's 1533-position model. The record is from RNAcentral.